Molecule: ribosomal RNA, 253 nt
Filed under: uncultured prokaryote
Description: partial 16S ribosomal RNA
Rfam family: Bacterial small subunit ribosomal RNA
Source: RNAcentral
UACGUAGGGCGCAAGCGUUGUCCGGAAUUAUUGGGCGUAAAGAGCUCGUAGGUGGUUUGUCGCGUCUGCUGUGAAAACCUGGGGCUUAACCCUGGGCCUGCAGUGGAUACGGGCAGACUAGAGGUAGGUAGGGGAGAAUGGAAUUCCCGGUGUAGCGGUGAAAUGCGCAGAUAUCGGGAGGAACACCGGUGGCGAAGGCGGUUCUCUGGGCCUUACCUGACACUGAGGAGCGAAAGCGUGGGGAGCAAACAGG